GGCAGCCGCCGCGGGAACACCGGCGGCCCGAGUGGUGAUCGUGAUUAUUGGGUCUAAAGGGUCCGUAGCCGGUUUGGUCAGUCCUCCGGGAAAAUCUGAUAGCUCAACUAUUAGGCGUUUCGGGGGAUACUGCCAGACUUGGAACCGGGAGAGGUAAGAGGUACUACAGGGGUAGGAGUGAAAUCUUGUAAUCCCUGUGGGACCACCUGUGGCGAAGGCGUCUUACCAGAACGGGUUCGACGGUGAGGGACGAAAGCGUGGGGGCACGAACCGGAUUAGAUACCCGGGUAGUCCCAGCCGUAAACGAUGCUCGCUAGGUGUCAGGCAUGGCGCGACCGUGUCUGGUGCCGCAGGGAAGCCGUGAAGCGAGCCACCUGGGAAGUACGGCCGCAAGGCUGAAACUUAAAGGAAUUGGCGGGGGAGCACAACAACGGGUGGAACGCCUGCGUUUAAUUGGACUCAACGCCGGACAACUCACCGGGGCGACAGCAAUAUGUAGGCCAAGCUGAAGACUUCGCCUGAAUCGCUGAGAGGUGGUGCAUGG
RNAcentral lists this ribosomal RNA (544 nucleotides) under uncultured archaeon. RNAcentral's name for it is "bacterial SSU rRNA". It matches the Rfam family "Archaeal small subunit ribosomal RNA", at positions 457 to 997 of the family's 1478-position model. The record is from RNAcentral.